UGUCAACCCCACUCGCAAUUUCUUUUAUUAUUGCAACAGCUAAAGCUUUGGGUCACAAUAUUGAAGAUCUGGUUAUUAAUUGUACAAGUUUGAGAAAACAGCGCAAGGAAUAUCGUCGGCGUCAUGGUACAGAAAUUAGUGAGAAUUUCAAGAUCCCUGAUACAUUUGUGUUACACUGGGACGGUAACUACUUCCUGCAAUGACUGGAAAGGAAAAAGUAGAACGCCUAGCUAUUGUUUUAACGGCAGCUAAUAUAGAAAAAUUAAUUUCCAUUCCAAUUAUUGAAUGUGGAACUGAAAAAAUGAAUAUGAUAAAUUCGGUGGAAAUGGUAUGCUUUGUCACGACAGCUACAAACACUGGUAAACGUAACGGUGCUGGAAUGUUGCUGGAACAAAAAUUGAAACGUAUCUUGUUGUGGUUGCCAUGCAGGCAUCAUAUUGCAGAAAUCAUACUACGAGCUGUAUUUGAAAUAUAUUUUGGAAAAUCUUGUGGCCCGGAAGUUGCCAUAUUUGAACGUUUUUCGCGGGAAUGGAACACUUUCAAUUCAAAAGAUCUUUCAAUUGGAAUCAUGGAUGAAGAAGUGUGACGUGCUAUAAAUGCAGAGGAAUGUGAAGCCAAUAAAGAAUUUUGCAUCAAAAAUAUAGCAAAAGACCACAUUCGCCAUUGAUUACAAAGAGCUAUUGCAACUCAUGUUUAUUAGGUGGAGGCAUCCCGAACUUUUCCUUUCGUGCACCUGGCGCGACGUCACAUGCCAGGUUUAUGUCAAAAGCGAUAUAUGCCUUAAAAAUGUUUGCUUUGCAAAAACAAUUUAAAAUGUCUUCCAGCCAUUUGAAUUGAUUCCGCAAUGUGUGUAUUUUCCUGGUGCGUCUUUAUAUUCCGUAUUGGUUUCGAACUACUAAUGCAGUCGAAGCACCAAAUUUGGAUUAGCCUUAUUAGAUAAAAUGAAAAACCACUUAUGGUAUCUGUCCGAGAAAGCCGUUGGUCUCGCCUUUUUCGAUUCUAAUGUGGACUUAAAUAUGAAAAGAAAGAUGGUUGAAGCACAAGCAUUAGAAAAAAAGUUUGAAAGCAAUGACGAAAAUGGCGUUUAUCUGCAUAAAAAUGUAAACGGCAGCAUUGAAGAAAUGAACGCAUUCAUAAGUAAAGAUUUAAAUUGUUUUGUAACGCAUAGAACUAGAAAUAUCUUUUCAAGAUUGGAAAUAGACGUAAAAUUUUUCAACUUAGAUCCCUCAAACUGGUGCGAAAAUGCAGAAUAUUUAAAAGGUGUUCAAAUCCUCAAAAACGUCACUGCUGUUAAUGAUUCUGCUGAGAGGAAAGUAAAACUAAUAACAGAUUUUAACCGGUCUUUAACUCAUAGCGAAGAAUAUAAACAAUACUUUCUUCAUAUUGUCGAGAACUACAGGCAAAAGUUCCCUUCAUAUACAAAAACUUCGCUUUUAUAAUA
Molecule: long non-coding RNA, 1441 nt
Organism: Bactrocera neohumeralis
Lineage: Eukaryota; Metazoa; Arthropoda; Insecta; Diptera; Tephritidae
Exons: 3
Source: RefSeq, a predicted model, not a curated record